CGGCAUAACCGGAGCCAUCGAAGAAGUAACUGGCAGCCCGACUCUGAGUGAAGGCCAGCUUAUCUCUGAAAUGGAAACACAACGGUCAUUUGAACACUACAGUUUCUGUUAUGCUUUUCAAGUGAAGCCCUUUUAACCCAUUCUUCUAACAUCUUCUGUGGACCUUACAACAUUUAAAUGAAGUCCUGUUGUCUGCAAGGAAGAGAUAAAGAGGUAUUUGUAGGGACUUUGGCUAAAAAAAUAAACUGUCAAAGGAACUGGCAUUUGCUGACUGGACUACAGCACAUCUCGAAGAAUCUGCAGACUGAAACCUUCAAGGCAUUCAUGAAAUGGUCUUCCCUUAGUUCCCCUGCCUUUUCCACUCUUUCUGCCAUUUGGAUUUCACACUGGAAGUUCAAGAGAUGACAUCAGAAAACAGAAAAGCCAGUGGGAAAGGCAAGGUAUAAAGAACUUUCAGGGAAUACUCACAUCAUAAAUUCGGUCAGUGGUGUUCAAAGCAAAUUCUGCUGUUUCAUUGGCUUCACUAACAUAAUUAACAAUAUUUUCAUAGACAUUUGAUGCAUCCAAAGCCUUCUGUACCAGCCCGUUCAUAUCUGAACUGUGCAACUUCCUGUUAAUAAACAAACAUUGUUAUUU
Molecule: long non-coding RNA, 636 nt
Filed under: Homo sapiens (human)
Lineage: Eukaryota; Metazoa; Chordata; Mammalia; Primates; Hominidae
Description: HSALNT0336287
Source: RNAcentral